Molecule: RNA transcript, 1371 nt
Organism: Aphidius gifuensis
Lineage: Eukaryota; Metazoa; Arthropoda; Insecta; Hymenoptera; Braconidae
Gene name: RNA-binding protein 1-like
Exons: 7
Source: RefSeq, a predicted model, not a curated record
AAUUCCGACAUAAACGCCAUUUUGUAUUAUUUUGUCUAGAGAAUUGUGUGUUUAGAAUUGUAAUUGUGUUUUAUUAUCGUUUAAUUAUAAAAAUAUUAUACAUUAAAUUUUAACAACUUUCAACAUUCUUAACAAAGAGUGUUCAAAGGCUCCAAAAUUGAUAAAGAAACAAAAAUGUCGCGUUAUCGCGAAUGGGAUUUAUCAUGCAAGGUGUAUGUUGGUGAUUUAGGAAGUAGUGCUAGUAAGCAUGAAAUUGAAAAUGCAUUCAGCAAAUAUGGACCAUUGAGAAAUGUAUGGGUUGCUAGAAAUCCACCUGGUUUUGCAUUUGUUGAAUUUGAAGAUCCUCGUGAUGCUGAGGAUGCUGUUAGAGGACUACAUGGAACACGUUGCUGUGGUACUCGAGUGAGAGUUGAAAUGUCAUCUGGACGUAGUCGUCGAGGUGGUGGUGGUGGUGGAGGAGCUGGUGGCGGUGGUGGUGGUGGGGGAGGAGGAGGAGGACGCAGAGGUGCACCAAGAUCCAGAUCAAGAAGUCCACGCAAGAAGUCUGUAGAGCGUUAUCCAAGAUCUUUGUCCAAGAGCCCAAAGAGAUCACCAAUUAAUCGUUAUUCAAGAUUCUACCAGUGUCAGCUCCUAGCUCUUCUCGUCUCCCCGCCACUACUACUACUUCUACUACUACUACUGCUACUACUACUACAACAGCCUCCGUGAACAAAAAAAAAAAUAUCAAAAAAACUAGCAAUCAAAACUGAAUAAAAAAAAAACAAAUCAAACAAAUUGCCUGCCCACUAACCUCCCAAUCAGUUCACCAUCAGUCACCAUCAGUCACCACCGUUAGGAGAAAAUAAAAGUCGUCUGUCACAACGUCUGUUAUCCUCGCAUUAAUACGACUUCUUCAGAUCUACCACAACUUCUAGACUACUUAGGAGCAUCUUAAAUUUCAUCAAUAAAAAUAAUAACAAUCAGAACGCGUAUGAAUUCUUCGAUUACAAAAAAAAAAAAAAAAAAAACAAACAAAAAUAAAUAAAUCAAAUAAUCAAUCAAAUAAAAAACAAAUACAAAAAUCAACGCGUUGCAACCCAAACGUUCUUCUACUGCUACUACUCGUCAACCAUCACAAGUUAAAAUACUUAGCUGAACAAUGCGAAUCGUCCACUUGUCUUCAAUUGAGCCAAAUGCAAUAUGAUCACCUACACAACCAUCCCACCACCCAACCAAGUACUACCAUCACCAUCACCACCAACCACCACCAACCACCAACCACCACAUGCUCACAGUUGUCUGAUCAAGAUCACGUAGUCCCCGCAGGCGAUCAUUGACACGUAGUCGCAGCCGAGACCGUCGUUCUCGUUCCGACUCACGCGACAGACGGUA